RNAcentral lists this ribosomal RNA (516 nucleotides) under uncultured Bacteroidales bacterium. RNAcentral's name for it is "bacterial SSU rRNA". It matches the Rfam family "Bacterial small subunit ribosomal RNA", at positions 28 to 536 of the family's 1533-position model. Lineage: Bacteria; Pseudomonadati; Bacteroidota; Bacteroidia; Bacteroidales. The record is from RNAcentral.
GAUGAACGCUAGCGAUAGGCUUAACACAUGCAAGUCGAGGGGCAGCGAGAUGUAGCAAUACGUCGUCGGCGACCGGCGAAUGGGUGAGUAACACGUAUGCAACUUACCUCUUAGUGGUGAAUAACUCGAUGAAAGUCGGACUAAUGCACCAUACUCUCCUUAGAUCACAUGAGAAGAGGAGGAAAGAUUAAUCGCUAAGAGAUAGGCCUGCGUUCCAUUAGCUAGUUGGUAAGGUAACGGCUUACCAAGGCAACGAUGGAUAGGGGGACUGAGAGGUUGACCCCCCACAUUGACACUGAGAUACGGGUCAAACUCCUACGGGAGGCAGCAGUGAGGAAUAUUGGUCAAUGGGCGAGAGCCUGAACCAGCCAAGUCGCGUGAAGGAAGACUGCCCGCAAGGGUUGUAAACUUCUUUUGUAUGGGAUUAAAGUCGUCUACGUGUAGACGUUUGCAGUUACCAUACGAAUAAGCAUCGGCUAACUCCGUGCCAGCAGCCGCGGUAAAAGGGCGAAUUCG